RNAcentral lists this ribosomal RNA (2364 nucleotides) under Mycobacterium tuberculosis. Its description in RNAcentral is "bacterial LSU rRNA". It matches the Rfam family "Bacterial large subunit ribosomal RNA", at positions 689 to 2925 of the family's 2925-position model. The record is from RNAcentral. Lineage: Bacteria; Bacillati; Actinomycetota; Actinomycetes; Mycobacteriales; Mycobacteriaceae.
CGUGUGAAUAGUGGCGUGUUCUGGACCCGAAGCGGAGUGAUCUACCCAUGGCCAGGGUGAAGCGCGGGUAAGACCGCGUGGAGGCCCGAACCCACUUAGGUUGAAGACUGAGGGGAUGAGCUGUGGGUAGGGGUGAAAGGCCAAUCAAACUCCGUGAUAGCUGGUUCUCCCCGAAAUGCAUUUAGGUGCAGCGUUGCGUGGUUCACCGCGGAGGUAGAGCUACUGGAUGGCCGAUGGGCCCUACUAGGUUACUGACGUCAGCCAAACUCCGAAUGCCGUGGUGUAAAGCGUGGCAGUGAGACGGCGGGGGAUAAGCUCCGUACGUCGAAAGGGAAACAGCCCAGAUCGCCGGCUAAGGCCCCCAAGCGUGUGCUAAGUGGGAAAGGAUGUGCAGUCGCAAAGACAACCAGGAGGUUGGCUUAGAAGCAGCCACCCUUGAAAGAGUGCGUAAUAGCUCACUGGUCAAGUGAUUGUGCGCCGAUAAUGUAGCGGGGCUCAAGCACACCGCCGAAGCCGCGGCACAUCCACCUUGUGGUGGGUGUGGGUAGGGGAGCGUCCCUCAUUCAGCGAAGCCACCGGGUGACCGGUGGUGGAGGGUGGGGGAGUGAGAAUGCAGGCAUGAGUAGCGACAAGGCAAGUGAGAACCUUGCCCGCCGAAAGACCAAGGGUUCCUGGGCCAGGCCAGUCCGCCCAGGGUGAGUCGGGACCUAAGGCGAGGCCGACAGGCGUAGUCGAUGGACAACGGGUUGAUAUUCCCGUACCCGUGUGUGGGCGCCCGUGACGAAUCAGCGGUACUAACCACCCAAAACCGGAUCGAUCACUCCCCUUCGGGGGUGUGGAGUUCUGGGGCUGCGUGGGAACUUCGCUGGUAGUAGUCAAGCGAAGGGGUGACGCAGGAAGGUAGCCGUACCAGUCAGUGGUAACACUGGGGCAAGCCGGUAGGGAGAGCGAUAGGCAAAUCCGUCGCUCACUAAUCCUGAGAGGUGACGCAUAGCCGGUUGAGGCGAAUUCGGUGAUCCUCUGCUGCCAAGAAAAGCCUCUAGCGAGCACACACACGGCCCGUACCCCAAACCGACACAGGUGGUCAGGUAGAGCAUACCAAGGCGUACGAGAUAACUAUGGUUAAGGAACUCGGCAAAAUGCCCCCGUAACUUCGGGAGAAGGGGGACCGGAAUAUCGUGAACACCCUUGCGGUGGGAGCGGGAUCCGGUCGCAGAAACCAGUGAGGAGCGACUGUUUACUAAAAACACAGGUCCGUGCGAAGUCGCAAGACGAUGUAUACGGACUGACGCCUGCCCGGUGCUGGAAGGUUAAGAGGACCCGUUAACCCGCAAGGGUGAAGCGGAGAAUUUAAGCCCCAGUAAACGGCGGUGGUAACUAUAACCAUCCUAAGGUAGCGAAAUUCCUUGUCGGGUAAGUUCCGACCUGCACGAAUGGCGUAACGACUUCUCAACUGUCUCAACCAUAGACUCGGCGAAAUUGCACUACGAGUAAAGAUGCUCGUUACGCGCGGCAGGACGAAAAGACCCCGGGACCUUCACUACAACUUGGUAUUGAUGUUCGGUACGGUUUGUGUAGGAUAGGUGGGAGACUGUGAAACCUCGACGCCAGUUGGGGCGGAGUCGUUGUUGAAAUACCACUCUGAUCGUAUUGGGCAUCUAACCUCGAACCCUGAAUCGGGUUUAGGGACAGUGCCUGGCGGGUAGUUUAACUGGGGCGGUUGCCUCCUAAAAUGUAACGGAGGCGCCCAAAGGUUCCCUCAACCUGGACGGCAAUCAGGUGGCGAGUGUAAAUGCACAAGGGAGCUUGACUGCGAGACUUACAAGUCAAGCAGGGACGAAAGUCGGGAUUAGUGAUCCGGCACCCCCGAGUGGAAGGGGUGUCGCUCAACGGAUAAAAGGUACCCCGGGGAUAACAGGCUGAUCUUCCCCAAGAGUCCAUAUCGACGGGAUGGUUUGGCACCUCGAUGUCGGCUCGUCGCAUCCUGGGGCUGGAGCAGGUCCCAAGGGUUGGGCUGUUCGCCCAUUAAAGCGGCACGCGAGCUGGGUUUAGAACGUCGUGAGACAGUUCGGUCUCUAUCCGCCGCGCGCGUCAGAAACUUGAGGAAACCUGUCCCUAGUACGAGAGGACCGGGACGGACGAACCUCUGGUGCACCAGUUGUCCCGCCAGGGGCACCGCUGGAUAGCCACGUUCGGUCAGGAUAACCGCUGAAAGCAUCUAAGCGGGAAACCUUCUCCAAGAUCAGGUUUCUCACCCACUUGGUGGGAUAAGGCCCCCCGCAGAACACGGGUUCAAUAGGUCAGACCUGGAAGCUCAGUAAUGGGUGUAGGGAACUGGUGCUAACCGGCCGAAAACUUACAACA